RNAcentral lists this ribosomal RNA (388 nucleotides) under uncultured bacterium. Its description in RNAcentral is "bacterial SSU rRNA". It matches the Rfam family "Bacterial small subunit ribosomal RNA", at positions 28 to 417 of the family's 1533-position model. The record is from RNAcentral.
GACGAACGCUGGCGGCGUGCUUAACACAUGCAAGUCGAGCGGUAAGGCUCUUUCGGGGGUACACGAGCGGCGAACGGGUGAGUAACACGUGGGUGACCUGCCCUCAGCUCUGGGAUAAGCCUGGGAAACCGGGUCUAAUACUGGAUAUGACUCCAUGACGCAUGUUGUGGGGUGGAAAGCCUUGUGCGGCUGAGGAUGGGCCCGCGGCCUAUCAGCUUGCUGGUGGGGNGAUGGCCUACCAAGGCGACGACGGGUAGCCGGCCUGAGAGGGCGACCGGCCACACUGGGACUGAGACACGGCCCAGACUCCUACGGGAGGCAGCAGUGGGGAAUCUUGCGCAAUGGGCGAAAGCCUGACGCAGCGACGCCGCGUGAGGGAUGACGGCCU